Molecule: small RNA, 2026 nt
Filed under: Pan troglodytes (chimpanzee)
Lineage: Eukaryota; Metazoa; Chordata; Mammalia; Primates; Hominidae
Description: processed transcript
Source: RNAcentral
GUGAAAGGUGCUGUGACCGUCCUCCCGGUUGUGGCUGGUGGCCUUCGGUGUUUCGGGUUUGGCAGUUCACUCACCAAGGUGAUCUGAUGGAGUGCACUUCGCACGAUUCCAAGUACUUGCCUAAUGUUCAUCCUUUCCUCUAGACGGGGUAGGGCUGGUUCUGGAUCUUUUUCCGCGGUAGCUGGAGAGACGUAGGACCUGAUGGCUACUAGAUGCCUGAGAAGGGAGAAGACAGAGGAGAAUGCCAGAUGAAGACAGAAACAGAGAUUGAAGUUAUGUGGCCAUAAUUCAAGGAUUGCUGGCAACACCAGAAGCCAAGAGAAAGAUGAGGAAGAAUUCUCCCCUAGACCUUUCAGAAGGAGCGUGGCCCAGCCAACACCCUGACUUCAGACUUCUGGCCUCCAGAACUCAGCCUCCUGGCCGGGGAUAGCCAAUAGCCCCAGCCCACUGAAAGCCUGGUGAGCAGAAAGGGAAGAGAAACAAGGGUGUGCAUUCACUGGUAGGAUGUGUUUCCUGAACGGCUCCUGCUCCUGCUGGACAAGCCCACGGAGGGCCCAGCUUCCAACAGACUAUGCUCCAGGAAGCCCAGGUGUUUCGAGGACUUGCUUCUACGGUUUCUUUGUCUGCGGAAUCAGGGAAGAGUGAAAAGGGUCAGCCACAGAAUUCCAAGAAGCAAAGUCCACCAAAAAAUGUAGUGGAACCAAAGGAGAGGGGCAAGCUCCUAGCCACCCAGACAGCAGCUGAAUUGUCUAAAAACUUAUCUUCACCCAGUUCUUACCCGCCAGCUGUGAAUAAGGGCAGGAAGGUAGCUAGUCCCAGUCCCAGUGGCAGCGUGCUAUUCACAGAUGAAGGGGUUCCGAAAUUUUUGUCAAGAAAGACUUUGGUAGAGUUUCCACAGAAAGUUCUGUCUCCAUUCAGAAAACAGGGCUCUGAUUCAGAAGCUCGUCAGGUGGGUCGGAAAGUGACGUCGCCUUCGUCUUCAUCCUCGUCCAGCUCCUCUGAUUCUGAAUCUGAUGAUGAGGCUGAUGUUUCAGAGGUCACUCCUCGAGUGGUGAGCAAAGGCAGAGGGGGGUUUCGAAAACCAGAGGCCUCUCAUUCCUUUGAAAACAGAGCCCCCCGAGUUACAGUAUCAGCAAAAGAGAAAACCUUGCUGCAGAAGCCGCAUGUGGACAUCACUGAUCCAGAGAAGCCCCACCAGCCAAAGAAGAAAGGGUCCCCUGCUAAGCCAUCAGAAGGCAGGGAAAAUGCGAGACCAAAAACCACAAUGCCCAGAUCUCAAGUAGAUGAAGAGUUUUUGAAGCAAAGUUUAAAGGAAAAACAAUUGCAGAAAACAUUUAGAUUAAAUGAAAUAGAUAAAGAAAGCCAAAAGCCAUUUGAAGUUAAAGGACCCUUACCUGUCCACACAAAAUCAGGGUUGUCUGCGCCACCGAAGGGCAGCCCAGCGCCUGCUGUGUUGGCAGAAGAGGCCAGAGCAGAGGGGCAGCUGCAAACCAGUCCUCCUGGGGCGGCAGAGGGGCAUCUGGAAAAACCCGUGCCAGAGCCCCAGCGCAAGGCAGCCCCUCCCCUGCCCAGAAAGGAAACCUCAGGGACGCAGGGAAUAGAAGGGCACCUGAAGGGUGGAGAGGCAAUCGUGGAAGAUCAGAUACCACCAAGCAAUUUGGAGACAGUUCCUGUUGAGAAUAACCAUGGUUUCCAUGAAAAGACAGCAGCGCCGAAGCUUGAGGCCGAGGGCGAGGCCAUGGAAGAUGCAGCCGCGCCAGGGGACGACCGAGGCGGCACACAGGAGCCAGCCCCAGUGCCUGCCGAGCCGUUUGACAACACUACCUACAAGAACCUGCAGCAUCAUGACUACAGCACGUACACCUUCUUAGACCUCAACCUCGAACUCUCAAAAUUCAGGAUGCCUCAGCCCUCCUCAGGCCGGGAGUCACCUCGACACUGAGGGCCCUCGGUGUGAAGAUGAACCUUCCACCGUCUUCACUGCAUCCUGGAGUGCAAAAAUAAAAUCCACUCAAGAGUCACAAGG